GAUGAACGCUAGCGGCAGGCUUAACACAUGCAAGUCGAGGGGCAUCACAUGAAGUAGCAAUACGGAUGGUGGCGACCGGCGCACGGGUGAGUAACACGUAUGCAACCUGCCUUCAACAAGGGGAUAACCCGUUGAAAGACGGACUAAUACCCUAUAACACAGGGGUCCCGCAUGGGAAUAUUUGUUAAAGGACAACCGGUUGAAGAUGGGCAUGCGUUCCAUUAGCUAGUUGGCGGGGUAACGGCCCACCAAGGCAACGAUGGAUAGGGGAACUGAGAGGUUUAUCCCCCACACUGGUACUGAGACACGGACCAGACUCCUACGGGAGGCAGCAGUGAGGAAUAUUGGUCAAUGGACGCAAGUCUGAACCAGCCACGUCGCGUGAAGGAAGACGGCCCUACGGGUUGUAAACUUCUUUUAUACGGGAAUAAAGUGCCCCACGCGUGGGGUUUUGCAUGUACCGUAUGAAUAAGGAUCGGCUAACUCCGUG
This 490-nucleotide ribosomal RNA is filed under the name uncultured bacterium. Its description in RNAcentral is "bacterial SSU rRNA". It matches the Rfam family "Bacterial small subunit ribosomal RNA", at positions 28 to 507 of the family's 1533-position model. The record is from RNAcentral.